GGAGCCCGGUGCUUAGGUAUCUCC
Molecule: non-coding RNA, 24 nt
Filed under: Arabidopsis thaliana (thale cress)
Lineage: Eukaryota; Viridiplantae; Streptophyta; Magnoliopsida; Brassicales; Brassicaceae
Source: RNAcentral